Long non-coding RNA from Meriones unguiculatus (Mongolian gerbil), 407 nucleotides. RefSeq lists it as uncharacterized. NCBI's taxonomy places the organism in Eukaryota, Metazoa, Chordata, Mammalia, Rodentia, Muridae. The record is from RefSeq and is a predicted model, not a curated record. The transcript is spliced from 3 exons.
GUCGAACUGGCGCCGGUGGCCGCAGAGAAACCUCCAACAAGGUGGAGGUGCUGGCCAUGAGAAGUCAGGCUGCCAACGUGUAGAAAUGAUAAGGUUUCCAGGAAGAUAUGAGCAGAAGGCUGGCGGUGCCAGCCACACACCCUACCAAAUACAAGGAGGCCUUAGGAGAAACGGUCUCUCACGGUGCAAGAAAGGAUCUCAGUGACACUCAGAGGUAGAGCACAUGUUCUAGUGAGCAAGGGUGGAGGGAGGCCAUGUUCGGUUUGGUUCACAUUCAACAGCACGCUCUGCCUCUGAAGAGUCGAGUGCCUGGCUACUUCAGGUCCAGGGAUUAGAACUAUGUCCCCAUCUCCUCUCUGAGUCCAGCUCAUGCCAUGGCUGGGAUCUCUGACAACAGCAACACAGGA